This 492-nucleotide ribosomal RNA is filed under the name uncultured bacterium. RNAcentral describes it as "partial 16S ribosomal RNA". It matches the Rfam family "Bacterial small subunit ribosomal RNA", at positions 29 to 507 of the family's 1533-position model. The record is from RNAcentral.
AGUGGACGCUGGCGGUAGGCCUAACACAUGCAAGUCGAACGGCAGCACAGUAAGAGCUUGCUCUUACGGGUGGCGAGUGGCGGACGGGUGAGGAAUACAUCGGAAUCUACUUUUUCGUGGGGGAUAACGUAGGGAAACUUAAGCUAAUACCGCAUACGACCUACGGGUGAAAGCAGGGGAUCUUCGGACCUUGCGCGAUUGAAUGAGCCGAUGUCGGAUUAGCUAGUUGGCGGGGUAAAGGCCCACCAAGGCGACGAUCCGUAGCUGGUCUGAGAGGAUGAUCAGCCACACUGGAACUGAGACACGGUCCAGACUCCUACGGGAGGCAGCAGUGGGGAAUAUUGGACAUUGGGCGCAAGCCUGAUCCAGCCAUACCGCGUGGGUGAAGAAGGCCUUCGGGUUGUAAAGCCCUUUUGUUUGGAAAGAAAAGCAGCAGGUUAAUACCCCGCUGUUCUGACGGUACCCAAAGAAUAAGCACCGGCUAACUUCGUG